GGUUAAGCGACUAAGCGUACACGGUGGAUGCCCUGGCAGUCAGAGGCGAUGAAGGACGUGCUAAUCUGCGAUAAGCGUCGGUAAGGUGAUAUGAACCGUUAUAACCGGCGAUUUCCGAAUGGGGAAACCCAGUGUGUUUCGACACACUAUCAUUAACUGAAUCCAUAGGUUAAUGAGGCGAACCGGGGGAACUGAAACAUCUAAGUACCCCGAGGAAAAGAAAUCAACCGAGAUUCCCCCAGUAGCGGCGAGCGAACGGGGAGCAGCCCAGAGCCUGAAUCAGUGUGUGUGUUAGUGGAAGCGUCUGGAAAGGCGCGCGAUACAGGGUGACAGCCCCGUACACAAAAAUGCACAUAUUGUGAGCUCGAUGAGUAGGGCGGGACACGUGGUAUCCUGUCUGAAUAUGGGGGGACCAUCCUCCAAGGCUAAAUACUCCUGACUGACCGAUAGUGAACCAGUACCGUGAGGGAAAGGCGAAAAGAACCCCGGCGAGGGGAGUGAAAAAGAACCUGAAACCGUGUACGUACAAGCAGUGGGAGCACGCUUAGGCGUGUGACUGCGUACCUUUUGUAUAAUGGGUCAGCGACUUAUAUUCUGUAGCAAGGUUAACCGAAUAGGGGAGCCGAAGGGAAACCGAGUCUUAACUGGGCGUUAAGUUGCAGGGUAUAGACCCGAAACCCGGUGAUCUAGCCAUGGGCAGGUUGAAGGUUGGGUAACACUAACUGGAGGACCGAACCGACUAAUGUUGAAAAAUUAGCGGAUGACUUGUGGCUGGGGGUGAAAGGCCAAUCAAACCGGGAGAUAGCUGGUUCUCCCCGAAAGCUAUUUAGGUAGCGCCUCGUGAAUUCAUCUCCGGGGGUAGAGCACUGUUUCGGCAAGGGGGUCAUCCCGACUUACCAACCCGAUGCAAACUGCGAAUACCGGAGAAUGUUAUCACGGGAGACACACGGCGGGUGCUAACGUCCGUCGUGAAGAGGGAAACAACCCAGACCGCCAGCUAAGGUCCCAAAGUCAUGGUUAAGUGGGAAACGAUGUGGGAAGGCCCAGACAGCCAGGAUGUUGGCUUAGAAGCAGCCAUCAUUUAAAGAAAGCGUAAUAGCUCACUGGUCGAGUCGGCCUGCGCGGAAGAUGUAACGGGGCUAAACCAUGCACCGAAGCUGCGGCAGCGACGCUGAUGCGUUGUUGGGUAGGGGAGCGUUCUGUAAGCCUGUGAAGGUGUGCUGUGAGGCAUGCUGGAGGUAUCAGAAGUGCGAAUGCUGACAUAAGUAACGAUAAAGCGGGUGAAAAGCCCGCUCGCCGGAAGACCAAGGGUUCCUGUCCAACGUUAAUCGGGGCAGGGUGAGUCGACCCCUAAGGCGAGGCCGAAAGGCGUAGUCGAUGGGAAACAGGUUAAUAUUCCUGUACUUGGUGUUACUGCGAAGGGGGGACGGAGAAGGCUAUGUUGGCCGGGCGACGGUUGUCCCGGUUUAAGCGUGUAGGCUGGUUUUCCAGGCAAAUCCGGAAAAUCAAGGCUGAGGCGUGAUGACGAGGCACUACGGUGCUGAAGCAACAAAUGCCCUGCUUCCAGGAAAAGCCUCUAAGCAUCAGGUAACAUCAAAUCGUACCCCAAACCGACACAGGUGGUCAGGUAGAGAAUACCAAGGCGCUUGAGAGAACUCGGGUGAAGGAACUAGGCAAAAUGGUGCCGUAACUUCGGGAGAAGGCACGCUGAUAUGUAGGUGAAGUCCCUCGCGGAUGGAGCUGAAAUCAGUCGAAGAUACCAGCUGGCUGCAACUGUUUAUUAAAAACACAGCACUGUGCAAACACGAAAGUGGACGUAUACGGUGUGACGCCUGCCCGGUGCCGGAAGGUUAAUUGAUGGGGUUAGCCGCAAGGCGAAGCUCUUGAUCGAAGCCCCGGUAAACGGCGGCCGUAACUAUAACGGUCCUAAGGUAGCGAAAUUCCUUGUCGGGUAAGUUCCGACCUGCACGAAUGGCGUAAUGAUGGCCAGGCUGUCUCCACCCGAGACUCAGUGAAAUUGAACUCGCUGUGAAGAUGCAGUGUACCCGCGGCAAGACGGAAAGACCCCGUGAACCUUUACUAUAGCUUGACACUGAACAUUGAGCCUUGAUGUGUAGGAUAGGUGGGAGGCUUAGAAGUGUGGACGCCAGUCUGCAUGGAGCCGACCUUGAAAUACCACCCUUUAAUGUUUGAUGUUCUAACGUUGACCCGUAAUCCGGGUUGCGGACAGUGUCUGGUGGGUAGUUUGACUGGGGCGGUCUCCUCCUAAAGAGUAACGGAGGAGCACGAAGGUUGGCUAAUCCUGGUCGGACAUCAGGAGGUUAGUGCAAUGGCAUAAGCCAGCUUGACUGCGAGCGUGACGGCGCGAGCAGGUGCGAAAGCAGGUCAUAGUGAUCCGGUGGUUCUGAAUGGAAGGGCCAUCGCUCAACGGAUAAAAGGUACUCCGGGGAUAACAGGCUGAUACCGCCCAAGAGUUCAUAUCGACGGCGGUGUUUGGCACCUCGAUGUCGGCUCAUCACAUCCUGGGGCUGAAGUAGGUCCCAAGGGUAUGGCUGUUCGCCAUUUAAAGUGGUACGCGAGCUGGGUUUAGAACGUCGUGAGACAGUUCGGUCCCUAUCUGCCGUGGGCGCUGGAGAACUGAGGGGGGCUGCUCCUAGUACGAGAGGACCGGAGUGGACGCAUCACUGGUGUUCGGGUUGUCAUGCCAAUGGCACUGCCCGGUAGCUAAAUGCGGAAGAGAUAAGUGCUGAAAGCAUCUAAGCACGAAACUUGCCCCGAGAUGAGUUCUCCCUGACUCCUUGAGAGUCCUGAAGGAACGUUGAAGACGACGACGUUGAUAGGCCGGGUGUGUAAGCGCAGCGAUGCGUUGAGCUAACCGGUACUAAUGAACCGUGAGGCUUAACCUU
RNAcentral lists this ribosomal RNA (2906 nucleotides) under Escherichia coli. Its description in RNAcentral is "23S ribosomal RNA". It matches the Rfam family "Bacterial large subunit ribosomal RNA". Lineage: Bacteria; Pseudomonadati; Pseudomonadota; Gammaproteobacteria; Enterobacterales; Enterobacteriaceae. The record is from RNAcentral.